Molecule: long non-coding RNA, 705 nt
Filed under: Anas platyrhynchos (mallard)
Lineage: Eukaryota; Metazoa; Chordata; Aves; Anseriformes; Anatidae
Description: lncRNA (ENSAPLG00020005674.1)
Source: RNAcentral
CUCUAGGAUAUUGUGCCUUAGCAACAGUGGAAAUUGCAAUGGUGGAAAACAGCCAGGUAGCUCCAGGUGCCAUUUUCCUUCCAGAACUACUGAAUGCAAGUUAGCCUCAAAUCAUUUCCAAGGUUGAGCGGCAAAACAGACGGGUCCAUUACUCUGUGAAGGGGAGCUCCCUCAAAUGCCUUUCUUCAACUGAUCCAACCAGAAACAUUUAUGCAGAAGUGAAGAUAGAGAAAGUCAGGCAAAGAAGCCAGCUGAUGGCACGAUUUGCUACUGAUGAGCACUAUGGACACCUGGAGUCUCAGAGGGCCAAGACAAGGCAGUCACUCUGUGCAAGUCACUGCUCAAGAUCACGCUUAUUGGGAAUGAAGAUGUUGCAAUUAUUUGAUGACCUGGCUAAGGAGCAUUCACAGAAGAGACUGAUAAGAAGGAGCCAGCCUUCAUAGACAGUGCCUCUACAAUCAUGUGUGAUGACAAGAAACAACCCACGGAACAGUAUGUAUCAUCUUUCACUGUGUCUGUCGGGAGGUGCUUUAUUUGGGGAAAAAACAGAAAACAAACUCAACUAAAUAUAAUAGAGAGUCAUAACAUACAUUGUUAACCUGAAUAUGGGCAACAGAAAAAUACAUAAUAAAAACAAUGACCUCUUUUGUAGCAAAAGAGGGUUUGGGAGAAAGUUCCCUUCUUUUACUGUAGAAACUCAGCAAU